Molecule: ribosomal RNA, 253 nt
Filed under: uncultured bacterium
Lineage: Bacteria
Description: partial 16S ribosomal RNA
Rfam family: Bacterial small subunit ribosomal RNA
Source: RNAcentral
UACGUAGGGUGCAAGCGUUAAUCGGAAUUACUGGGCGUAAAGCGUGCGCAGGCGGUUAUGUAAGACAGAUGUGAAAUCCCCGGGCUCAACCUGGGAACUGCAUUUGUGACUGCAUAGCUAGAGUACGGUAGAGGGGAUGGAAUUCCGCGUGUAGCAGUGAAAUGCGUAGAUAUGCGGAGGAACACCGAUGGCGAAGGCAAUCCCCUGGACCUGUACUGACGCUCAUGCACGAAAGCGUGGGGAGCAAACGAGG